Long non-coding RNA from Contarinia nasturtii (swede midge), 370 nucleotides. RefSeq lists it as uncharacterized. Lineage: Eukaryota; Metazoa; Arthropoda; Insecta; Diptera; Cecidomyiidae. The transcript has 4 exons. The record is from RefSeq and is a predicted model, not a curated record.
AAUUAAAUUGUAUAUGGUGAGAGAAAAGACUUUUUCUCAGUCUUUAAAACGUGUUUACGUUUUUCAAACUGAUUCGAUUUUUGAACGUGAAAAUGAUGAACAGUAUUGUGAUACUUUUGAUGAUAAUUUCAACAAUCUUUGCCUGUGACCAAUUUGCGAACAAAGAGAAGAAAAAUUACGACGAUAUAAUCGGAGCAAAUACAUACAAUAAAGAAUCCUUCGACAGAUUUUAUAAAAUGCUGAAACACUAUUGUUUCCAAAAUCAAACAACUAAGGCCAUAUUUGAAAAAAAUAGGCUAAAUCUCCCAUCGAUAAAAAAUAUUGGGCUUGCUUCGAACGAAUUCAAGGAUCUAUGUGCGGCUAUAUACGA